GCAUCCAUGGCUGAAUGGUUAAAGCGCCCAACCUAAUAAGGAAAGUAGGUUCGAUUCCUGCUGGAUGCA
This 69-nucleotide transfer RNA is filed under the name Rorippa indica. RNAcentral describes it as "tRNA-Ile". It matches the Rfam family "tRNA". Rfam says of the family: Transfer RNA (tRNA) molecules are approximately 80 nucleotides in length. Their secondary structure includes four short double-helical elements and three loops (D, anti-codon, and T loops). The record is from RNAcentral. RNAcentral also lists the same sequence under 3 other names. Lineage: Eukaryota; Viridiplantae; Streptophyta; Magnoliopsida; Brassicales; Brassicaceae.